UUUCCUGGCUCUUCACAAGAUUAAAUUAACUUUCUCCACAGUUCAUCUCCUAACCCUCCUUGGGCAGCAACCCAGAUGGACAGAUCAAAGAUUUGCAGAAAUUCUGGUUCUCAAAGGGUUUUAGAAGCUCCUCGGCAAAGUACAGAAAUCCUGGAAACAGCAGGACGGACCCGUGGAUGAUCUAGUCUCUGCUUGAAUGCGGCCAGGGAUGGGUCUCCAGGGAAAUUCCUCCCUGUGCCGAGCCGACUGAAAUGCACCAGGCAAAGUGGUUUGGGAGACAAAUAUAUGCCGAGUUGAAAACUGUACGCAUUGCUUUAAACACAAAAAAAUCGUAUAUUUGCUUAUUUUGAGAGAGACAGUGAGCAGGGGAGGGGC
Long non-coding RNA from Herpailurus yagouaroundi (jaguarundi), 375 nucleotides. RefSeq lists it as uncharacterized. The record is from RefSeq and is a predicted model, not a curated record. The transcript has 3 exons. NCBI's taxonomy places the organism in Eukaryota, Metazoa, Chordata, Mammalia, Carnivora, Felidae.